ACUCGGGUAGUGCAAACGGUUAACACGCUUGGUUGUUAACCAAAAGGUUGGCGGUUGGAGUCCACCCUGAGGUG
This 74-nucleotide transfer RNA is filed under the name Loxodonta africana (African savanna elephant). It matches the Rfam family "tRNA". Rfam says of the family: Transfer RNA (tRNA) molecules are approximately 80 nucleotides in length. Their secondary structure includes four short double-helical elements and three loops (D, anti-codon, and T loops). The record is from Rfam by way of RNAcentral. Lineage: Eukaryota; Metazoa; Chordata; Mammalia; Proboscidea; Elephantidae.